Gossypium arboreum is the source of this 885-nucleotide long non-coding RNA. RefSeq lists it as uncharacterized. NCBI's taxonomy places the organism in Eukaryota, Viridiplantae, Streptophyta, Magnoliopsida, Malvales, Malvaceae. The record is from RefSeq and is a predicted model, not a curated record. The transcript has 2 exons.
CAACAAAUGGAAGACUAGUCUAAUCAUCAGAAUAAAAAGAAACAAACCGACGGCUAAAAUAAAAGCACAAGGUCCUAAACUAAUUAAACAAAUAAAUAAUCUUGAAAUCCCCAUCCGUUAUGAAUAACCUACCUCCAACUAUGCCUUUUACGCAAAGAACUUUUCAUUGUCAUUGGAGAAAAGGCCUGAGAGUUUUUAGUAGGGGCGCUCUCAAUUUCCCCCUUUUCCAUUUUACCUUUCAUUGUUUCAGUCGGGUUCCUGUGGGCGAUCCAGUUUCCUCUGUCGAUUGGUGUAGCCAGGGACCUCUCCAAACAGGUAAAUCAUCUCUAUUUCUUUCAAACUUGUGUAGCAAUGAUGUGGGCUAAACGAUUAGCCACUCUUGGAGCAUAACGAAAUGUAAUGGCCUAAAACUUGCUUUUUUCUCUUCAAAUAUUUUGAAUAUGCACACUAACUUGCGAUUUGUCCACCGAUUGUGCCAUGCAUUUGGUGAUGAUGGCCUUGGAGUCGCCCUCAAUAACAACCUUUGUGUAGCCCAUCUCUAAUCCUAUGAGGACAGCGUCGUAGCAAGCAAUCGUCUCUGCGUCAAAAGUCGUGCCUACCGCUGGAUGUAGGACACCCAACGAAAGCAUGCUACAGAGUCUCAGAGCAAGCUUUACAUCUAGGACACUUAUCAUCUCGGGCCACUCUUCGCUGAUACAAAUUGGUCAUCAUGGGAAUAAAGUUUUGUGUUACCCUCCAUAGCAUAAUUUUAAUUUUAUUUGGUAUUUGGAGUGCCCAUAGUUGUUUGCAAAAUAGUUUGGUUGUAUUUUGAGUAGCCGUAGAGUCUGAUGUAUGAUCUUGAGUCUAUAAAAGUUGAUACGCACUACGAACAGUGAACUUACCCAA